UCCCAUCUGCCGAAGUGUGAUAGGGGUCCUGAGUGCUCAUGCUUUCCAUGGGCUUUUGCCUAGAGUAAAAAACUUGGCGAAUAAGGGGUGGGCAAGACUGGUGCCAGCCCCCCCGGUAA
RNAcentral lists this ribosomal RNA (119 nucleotides) under uncultured euryarchaeote. RNAcentral's name for it is "partial 16S ribosomal RNA". Lineage: Archaea; Methanobacteriati; Methanobacteriota. The record is from RNAcentral.